CUGUCUUGGGAUGCAGUCAGGAACUGCAGCCUGUUGGGUCACUAGUGAGUUCCCAGUCAGAACUGUAGAGUGGUGGGAGAGGUGUGAAGGCAGGCCUUGUCCUCUCAUCAUGACACCUAUGCAGGAAGACCAAAGCCAUGCUGGGGAUCAGUCGAAUAAUAUUGUUCAUCAUCAUUCAGGAGAGGAAAAAUAAGCUGUCUAAGAAAAAAAAAAUGUUUCCAGGCUUAUUUCUAGAAUUUAUUUAAUUGUACAGGAGCUUGAAGGCUCAAAAUCAGCUCUCCAUCCAAAUGAGACAGGAGGGCCCAACGUUCUCAAGAGGUACUUGAUAAAAAAUCAUGCCCUUGUCUGUUAUGGCCAUAGCUGCCACAAAUGACUCACAGUAACUAAGAAACUUUUACUUCCAUACCAGGUCCUCCUCAGAUGACUCCAAUCUGCAGUAGCUCAACAUGACUCAACUCUUUGGGACCCUUCAAUGGUACUUAGUGUGGAGUGCAGUGAGCCCUUGCCCUAACCAUGCCUAAGCAGAAAUACUGUGGGUAUCUUAGACGGAUACUGUACAUUCCUGAGUUCACCUUUUAAAUUCCAAUAAGAUUACUUCCCCAUCUUCUUAUGCAAAUAGUUCCUAUACCACUUUUCCUAAUCAAGUAGAUGGUAGAGUUGUAUAUUCAUGACUUUCAUCUCAACUAGAGCAGGUCAAGUUGGUUACACCAAAUACUGGCACACCUGGCAGGUCAGCCUAAAGGCAGCAAGCACAGAGAGUGACCUGGAGCAGUGGAGAGUUUCAGGAGCUUCUAGGUGCAGCUGUCAGAUGAUAUCCAGGAAACUGUUGGAAGCAGCUGGCUAUUGAUCCCAAGAAGGCAACAUGGGAGUUUCUAUCACUAGGAGCUGAGGGUCCCUGACAUUCCAUCUCAGAACUAGUAACACUAACUAGCCACUAAUUAGUCCUCAGACCUCAGAGCUGUGGAUACCAAGGGAGAUAUGCUUUUCCCCUUUGUGAUUUCUUUUCAUAGCAGGCCCUCAGAUGAUUGGUAGGGGAGAUGUUUAAGAGGCACAGAUCAUAGAGGAAUACACAAAGAAGAUCCCCUAAACCAAGAGAGGCUUUUUCUAUGGGGUGAUGUGUUGGGUUUUGGAAUCUUGUCUGUUUUUUCCCAGGAUUAGGGGGAGGACCUGUCUAAAUCUGGAAACAAGACCCAAUAGAUGAACGCUUGUGUGCCCUGGGUCCUGGCAACCCCAGUUAUCGCUCUCAGUUCUCACUGCAUGGACGUGUACAGACAACAUGGCAAAAGGCAGCAGCCAGAGAAGAUUUUUUUCCUACCAAACUGCCUUUAUUCCCAGUGACAGUCAAACAAGAGCCAGCAAAGCAGAAGCAGAUCCUCUGGCUGGGCUGGUUACUCCUCCCAUCCUGACCCUGAAACUCAAGGCAGAAUUGGAAUCAGUAGUAUGGAGCCUGGAGUUUCUGGGAUUGUUGCAGAGAGAAUGCCCAGGCCUCCAGCUAGAGGGAGCUACUCUUUGGAGAGCUAGAUGCCUCGCAGCCAAAAUAUAGAGCUCAAGGAGGAGCCUGAGGAGACAACUCACACAAGAAAACAGGAAACCACUUCUACAUUGGGAGUCUGAGGAAGGUGCCUGCAGACCAGGGUCUUGAAGUGCUGCCAGUGCUGGAAGUUCUCAUAGAUGCUAUGAGACACUCUCUUGGCCUCCUAGGUGACUCCCUAGAAUUGGAUCAAUUUGACUUUGCUCAGUGGCAUCAUGCCCCUCCUCAUGCUCACCAUCAGAAAAGGGGUCUUCUCCAACAGGAAAAGGCAUAUGCAGGUACUGCAGGGUCAUUUGUGAAGAUGACUGUUUCUAAAGAUUACUGCCCCAUCACCUCCUCAGCCUUCCUUUUGCUAAUACUCCUUGUAUACCCUCCACUUCUUUCCUAGGCUUCCUCUAAUAAACAAAACCACCUGAUUUAGAUCUCUGCCUAGAUAGAUGCUGAGGAUUCCUGAAGUUUACCCUGCCCAGCACAUCCUGCCCAGCAUGUGGGUGCUUCUCCCAGCACUUCUCACAGCAUACACUAAUGGAGGUCCAGAUUCUGGCCUGUUGUAUCCCUAGUGUUCACUGUUUCCUGCCAUGAUACCGGGAGUUCCUUUUCCAGGGAAGAGGUCUAUGUGAUAGACACUGAGUCCCCUAGAUCCUCUUCUGGGCUGACUAGCAAAGGCCACUGAGGUUUAUGAAGUUGAUGGGAUGGUGAGGAUUGGGGUUUUUCAGAUAUUUUCACAGCCACUCAUCAUUUUUUUUUUAAUUGGGCCUAGGAAUUGGAGCCAUCGUGAGGUCCUUUUCCUUUGCAAUCCCAGUAAUGGGAAGGAAAGUGUCACAGAGACUCAGGCCUGCACCAGCUGCUACCUGUAGCAAGGUUGUUGGGAGAACAUUCCUGUUCACCAAGACAUUAUGCAGAAUGAUGUCAAGGAAUGGGACAUGCACCACACUUCAGCACUUGCAUGUAUUAAUCAGGACACCUGCCUAAAUUCCAAAGACAAUAUGAGUAGAGCCCCUUCCUGUGUACUAUUCUCCUUCUUGUCUUCAUAAGAACCCAGUCAUCUUCAAACCUGGUCCUGGAAAAUGAAGAACAUCCCACAUGUGCUCCCUUUUCAUGGAGCACCAACUAAACUAGGAAGAUAAGCAGUCUUAGUGUUGAUUUGAAAACAAUGAGCUGAGGCUAUACACAUAGAAUGUGAAAGUUAUAAUGAUUUAGAAGACCCCCCAGAGGCUCACAAUCUAUGUUGAUUUAGGUUUUCUGGGUUCCCUGCCCUUCUGGAAUCAAUGAUACCUAGUGUUAGAAUGGAAGGAGAAGUUUUCCUAGGCAGGAAGUUGGUGAGGGACCCUGGGCUCUGGCAGUUGGAGUGUCCUGCAGCCUCACCCUCAGAGAAUAUAUUGCACUGCAUCUGUGGCCAUUGAGAUCCCCAUUGGGAAGUUUUCUAGCUAAGAAAUUCUUACCACUGCCCAGUUAUGAUCUGAGAAUCUCAGUCCUCUCAGAAUGAUAACCCAGGCAGCUUCCCUGUGUCUGAUGAAUGGACACAGGGCUCAGCCCUAACUGAUCACCACUAUGACAUCAUUUGUGACUGCCUAAAAAAACAUGAUGCAGUGACCUGUGUCCAUUCUACAAGGAAUCAAUCCCUUGGCCUCUCUCCCUUCUGCUGACCCAGUGUGCUUCCUGUGAUUAGUGUGAACAUGGGUCUUAGGAGCCCUCCUCCACAUGAGCAGUAUCAGUCUUCCUGGGGCUUCCUGGGACAUGUCAAGUGCAUUGUCUAAGGCUCUUUUCUUCCCUUACAUCUGCUCAAUGAGUUGACCAGGGGGGAAGUACUCCAUUCUAAUUCUCAAGGGUUUCAGAGGUGACUAGCCCUCAGAUAACAAACUUCUGUCCCUCCAGACUCACCUCCUUCUGAAGGUCAGACAGGACACCUGACAGACUGUCUCACAGUCUCCACAGUGGGAAAACUUCAGUACAGGACCCAGAGAGUGACCUGUCUGUAACAGAUGCUCAGGGUCCAACGGGCCAAGUUGGGCAAAGUUUAAAUGUAAACCCCAGUGGAAUGUUGGACCCAGACGUUCUGCAGGGUUGGAGGGGUCAAGAGGAGCUGGCCUGGGUGGGGGCUGGGAAGACAUUCCAUGAAGAGCUCUGAUAGGUAUAGAAGAACCUCUGGUUCUCUUCAGGCAAUUCAAGGGGACACAAGUGUUAUGUGCCUCUGGGUCAUUUUGAAGUACAUUCUAAAAUCCACAGGAGAGGGGUGUGUCAGGUGGCCCUCUCUUUCAACAACUGAAUCAUCUUUGCUUUUCCUGAUGGGAAGGACCACUGAACCAUGUUGCUCAUGAGCCACAAAAUCACGAGUAUAAACAGUCAAUACUCUAAAAAACUGUGGGGUGUGGAUUGUGUUUUAUGUGUAAAGUGUUUUUUCUUGUUGUUAUUAUUGAUUUUUUUUAUCCCAUCCCUGGCUUGCAAAAGACACAGUUGGGUGUUAAUGAAAUAUUAACACCUUAUUAUAAGUAUUUUAAAUAAAUGGCAGGAUAGGGGCAAACCAUGAUA
Non-coding RNA from Ictidomys tridecemlineatus (thirteen-lined ground squirrel), 4060 nucleotides. The record is from RefSeq and is a predicted model, not a curated record. NCBI's taxonomy places the organism in Eukaryota, Metazoa, Chordata, Mammalia, Rodentia, Sciuridae.